CAUCUAGGCGGUCAAUCAAGUCGAAGGUGAAAACUUGUGGCUCAACCAUAAGCUUGCCUACGAAACUGAUUAACUAGAGUACUGGAGAGGUGGACGGAACUACACGAGUAGAGGUGAAAUUCGUAGAUAUGUGUAGGAAUGCCGAUGAUGAAGAUAGUUCACUGGACAGAAACUGACGCUAGAAGUCGAAAGCUAGGGGAGCAAACA
This 207-nucleotide ribosomal RNA is filed under the name uncultured bacterium. RNAcentral's name for it is "partial 16S ribosomal RNA". It matches the Rfam family "Bacterial small subunit ribosomal RNA", at positions 568 to 774 of the family's 1533-position model. The record is from RNAcentral.